GGGUGAUUAGCUCACUGGGAGAGCACCUCCCUUACAAGGAGGGGGUCGGCGGUUCGAUCCCGUCAUCACCCACCA
RNAcentral lists this transfer RNA (75 nucleotides) under Escherichia coli. RNAcentral's name for it is "tRNA-Val(tac)". It matches the Rfam family "tRNA". Rfam says of the family: Transfer RNA (tRNA) molecules are approximately 80 nucleotides in length. RNAcentral also lists the same sequence under 2 other names. The record is from RNAcentral. Lineage: Bacteria; Pseudomonadati; Pseudomonadota; Gammaproteobacteria; Enterobacterales; Enterobacteriaceae.